This 278-nucleotide unclassified non-coding RNA is filed under the name Stereum sanguinolentum. RNAcentral describes it as "partial internal transcribed spacer region". The stretch from base 1 to 46 matches the Rfam family "Eukaryotic small subunit ribosomal RNA", at positions 1786 to 1831 of the family's 1831-position model. The record is from RNAcentral. Lineage: Eukaryota; Fungi; Basidiomycota; Agaricomycetes; Russulales; Stereaceae.
AAGUCGUAACAAGGUUUCCGUAGGUGAACCUGCGGAAGGAUCAUUAAUGAAAUUUAUGACUGGGGUUGUCGCUGGCCUUUAAAAACGGCAUGUGCACGCCUCUUUCACUAAUCCACACACACCUGUGCACCUUUGCGGGGGCUCUUUGGGAACCGACGCAAGUCGUAAGUACCGGAGCUCGCGUCCCUUUACACACCCCUUUGUAUGUCUUAAGAAUGUCUACUCGAUGUAAUAAAACGCAUCUAAUACAACUUUCAACAACGGAUCUCUUGGCUCUC